CAGUCGAACGAACUCUGGUAUUGAUUGGUGCUUGCAUCAUGAUUUACAUUUGCGUGAGUGGCGAACUGGUGAGUAACACGUGGGAAACCUGCCCGGAAGCGGGGGAUAACACCUGGAAACAGAUGCUAAUACCGCAUAACAACUUGGACCGCAUGGUCCGAGCUUGAAAGAUGGCUUCGGCUAUCACUUCUGGAUGGUCCCGCGGCGUAUUAGCUAGAUGGUGAGGUAACGGCUCACCAUGGCAAUGAUACGUAGCCGACCUGAGAGGGUAAUCGGCCACAUUGGGACUGAGACACGGCCCUAACUCCUACGGGAGGCAGCAGUAGGGAAUCUUCCACAAUGGACGAAAGUCUGAUGGAGCAACGCCGCGUGAGUGAAGAAGGGUUUCGGCUCGUAAAACUCUGUUGUUAAAGAAGAACAUAUCUGAGAGUAACUGUUCAGGUAUUGACGGUAUUUAACCAGAGAGCCACGGCUAACUACGUGCCAGCAGCCGCGGUAAUACGUAGGUGGCAAGCGUUGUCCGGAUUUAUUGGGCGUAAAGCGAGCGCAGGCGGUUUUUUAAGUCUGAUGUGAAAGCCUUCGGCUCAACCGAAGAAGUGCAUCGGAAACUGGGAAACUUGAGUGCAGAAGAGGACAGUGGAACUCCAUGUGUAGCGGUGAAAUGCGUAGAUAUAUGGAAGAACACCAGUGGCGAAGGCGGCUGUCUGGUCUGUAACUGACGCUGAGGCUCGAAAGUAUGGGUAGCAAACAGGAUUAGAUACCCUGGUAGUCCAUACCGUANACGAUGAAUGCUAAGUGUUGGAGGGUUUCCGCCCUUCAGUGCUGCAGCUAACGCAUUAAGCAUUCCGCCUGGGGAGUACGGCCGCAAGGCUGAAACUCAAAGGAAUUGACGGGGGCC
RNAcentral lists this ribosomal RNA (898 nucleotides) under uncultured bacterium. RNAcentral's name for it is "bacterial SSU rRNA". It matches the Rfam family "Bacterial small subunit ribosomal RNA", at positions 59 to 921 of the family's 1533-position model. The record is from RNAcentral.